RNAcentral lists this ribosomal RNA (465 nucleotides) under uncultured bacterium. RNAcentral's name for it is "partial 16S ribosomal RNA". It matches the Rfam family "Bacterial small subunit ribosomal RNA", at positions 338 to 795 of the family's 1533-position model. The record is from RNAcentral.
CCUACGGGUGGCAGCAGUAGGGAAUCUUCCACAAUGGGCGAAAGCCUGAUGCAGCAACGCCGCGUGGGUGAAGAAGGUCUUCGGAUCGUAAAACCCUGUUGUUAGAGAAGAAAGUGCGUGAGAGUAACUGUUCACGUUUCGACGGUAUCUACCCAGAAAGCCCCGGAUAACUACGUGCCAGCAGCCGAGGUAAUACGUAGGUGGCAAGCGUUAUCCGGUUUUAUUGGGCGUAAAGGGAACGCAGGCGGGCUUUUAAGUCUGAUGUGAAAGCCUUCGGCUUAACCGGAGUAGUGCAUUGGAAACUGGGAGACUUGAGUGCAGAAGAGGAGAGUGGAACUCCAUGUGUAGCGGUGAAAUGCGUAGAUAUAUGGAAGAACACCAGUGGCGAAAGCGGCUCUCUGGUCUGUAACUGACGCUGAGGUUCGAAAGCGUGGGUAGCAAACAGGAUUAGAUACCCCUGUAGUC